GGACGAUUGGUGUAGCGGUUAUCACGUCUGCUUUACAUAGCAUAAUUACAUGUUCAUAUCGCAGCAGGUCGCAAGUUCGAUCCUUGCAUCGUUCA
This is a non-coding RNA of Hyaloscypha sp. PMI_1271, 95 nucleotides long. The record is from the annotation of a GenBank genome assembly. NCBI's taxonomy places the organism in Eukaryota, Fungi, Ascomycota, Leotiomycetes, Helotiales, Hyaloscyphaceae.